UCGGGAAUUUUGGGCAAUGGGCGCAAGCCUGAUGACGCAACGCCGCGUGGGGGAUGAAGGUCUUCGGAUCGUAAACCCCUGUCGAAUGGGACGAAAGACUCGCGAGUGAAUACUUCGCGAGAGUGACGGUACCGUUAAAGGAAGCCACGGCUAACUCUGUGCCAGCAGCCGCGGUAAUACAGAGGUGGCAAGCGUUGUUCGGAAUUACUGGGCGUAAAGGGCGCGUAAGCGGCCCUCUAAGUCAGACGUGAAAUCCCCCGGCUUAACCUGGGAACUGCGUCUGAUACUGGAGGGCUUGAGUAUAGGAGAGGGAUGUAGAAUUCCAGGUGUAGCGGUGAAAUGCGUAGAUAUCUGGAGGAAUACCGGUGGCGAAGGCGACAUCCUGGACCAUUACUGACGCUGAGGCGCGAAAGCUAGGGGAGCAAACGGGAUUAGAUACCCAAGUAGUCCCUGAGCGGGCUGGCAAGGCGCAU
RNAcentral lists this ribosomal RNA (473 nucleotides) under uncultured bacterium. RNAcentral's name for it is "bacterial SSU rRNA". It matches the Rfam family "Bacterial small subunit ribosomal RNA", at positions 355 to 825 of the family's 1533-position model. The record is from RNAcentral.